RNAcentral lists this ribosomal RNA (468 nucleotides) under uncultured bacterium. Its description in RNAcentral is "partial 16S ribosomal RNA". It matches the Rfam family "Bacterial small subunit ribosomal RNA", at positions 28 to 507 of the family's 1533-position model. The record is from RNAcentral.
GACGAACGCUGGCGGCGUGCUUAACACAUGCAAGUCGAACGGAAAGGCCCUGCUUUUGUGGGGUGCUCGAGUGGCGAACGGGUGAGUAACACGUGAGUAACCUGCCCUUGACUUUGGGAUAACUUCAGGAAACUGGGGCUAAUACCGGAUAGGAGCUCCUGCUGCAUGGUGGGGGUUGGAAAGUUUCGGCGGUUGGGGAUGGACUCGCGGCUUAUCAGCUUGUUGGUGGGGUAGGGGCUUACCAAGGCUUUGACGGGUAGCCGGCCUGAGAGGGUGACCGGCCACAUUGGGACUGCGAUACGGCCCAGACUCCUACGGGAGGCAGCAGUGGGGAAUAUUGCCCAAUGGGCGGAAGCCUGAUGCAGCAACGCCGCGUGCGGGAUGACGGCCUUCGGGUUGUAAACCGCUUCCGCCUGUGACGAAGCGUGAGUGACGGUAAUGGGUAAAGAAGCACCGGCUAACUAUGUG